UUUNNNNNNACGUAGAUGCUAGUCUUUAAGAUUAAGCCAUGCAUGCUAAGUGAACCUGUACGGGGGAACGGCGAACGGCUCAGUAAUGUUGCGGUGAUUUGCUCUAUAUGAUAAGAAUAACCACGGUAACCUGUGGCUAAAAGUGUAGAAUAAGGCGCAAUCCUAUCAGUUUGUUGGUAGUGUAAAGGACUACCAAGACUACGACGGGUGACGGGAAAUCAGGGUUUGAUUCCGGAGAGGGAGCCUGAGAGAUGGCUCCCACGUCCAAGGACGGCAGCAGGCGCGAAACUUAUCCACUCUUCUGAGAGGAGAUAGUUAUGAGACGUGAUUUAAGGGUUGAGUGUAAAGAACUCGACGUGAAGCAAUUGGAGGGCAAGUUUUGGUGCCAGCAGCCGCGGUAAUACCAACUCCAAGAGUGUCUAUGGUGGGUGCUGCAGUUAAAGGGUCCGUAGUCGUAGAUGCAAUUAAAGGGUGGUGCUCAAGACCAUUAAGUUUGUUGUUUUUAGCGGAACGGAUAGGGAGCGUGGUAUAGGCGGGCCAAGAAUGAAAUCUCAAGACCCCGCCUGGACCAACUGAGGCGAAAGCGACGCUCUUAGACGUAUCUAAGGAUCAAGGACGAAGGCUAGAUUAUCGAAAGUGAUUAGACACCGCUGUAGUUCUAGCAGUAAACGAUGCCGACAGCUCCUGCUGCGAAAGUGGUGGGAGCAAGAGAAAUCAUAGUUUUCGGGCUCUGGGGAUAGUACACUCGCAAGAGUGAAACUUAAAGCGAGAUUGACGGAAGAACACUACCAGGAGUGGAUUGUGCGGCUUAAUUUG
This 816-nucleotide ribosomal RNA is filed under the name Enterospora canceri. Its description in RNAcentral is "bacterial SSU rRNA". It matches the Rfam family "Microsporidia small subunit ribosomal RNA", at positions 12 to 831 of the family's 1311-position model. Lineage: Eukaryota; Fungi; Microsporidia; Enterocytozoonidae. The record is from RNAcentral.